UAAAAAAUGGUGUAAUGGAUGCACUUGAAGUUUUGAUCUUCCUGGUAGAGGUUCGAGUCCUUUUUUUUUAG
RNAcentral lists this transfer RNA (71 nucleotides) under Aneides flavipunctatus (black salamander). RNAcentral describes it as "tRNA-Gln". It matches the Rfam family "tRNA". Rfam says of the family: Transfer RNA (tRNA) molecules are approximately 80 nucleotides in length. Lineage: Eukaryota; Metazoa; Chordata; Amphibia; Caudata; Plethodontidae. The record is from RNAcentral.